GUGAAUCAUCGAAUUUUUGAACGCAUAUUGCACUCUCGGGUAUUCCGGAGAGUAUGCCUAUUUGAGGGUCAUUUGAAAUAAUAUAAAUUCCAAGAUUUUUCGGAAUUUAAAAUGGGGUGUCCAUUUUUUGUGGUCGCUUAAAAUAUAAGACAGGAUCAUUUUCUUGGGGUGCGUGAUACUUUCAGUUACCUCGUGAUUUACCCAGGAAUUAUCGGUGGUGUUGUGAAUUUUGGAUGAGAUAAA
This 243-nucleotide unclassified non-coding RNA is filed under the name Ambisporaceae sp. RNAcentral's name for it is "partial contains 5.8S ribosomal RNA and internal transcribed spacer 2". The stretch from base 1 to 71 matches the Rfam family "5.8S ribosomal RNA", at positions 84 to 154 of the family's 154-position model. The record is from RNAcentral. Lineage: Eukaryota; Fungi; Glomeromycota; Glomeromycetes; Archaeosporales; Ambisporaceae.